CAUCGUGAGGUGGAAUCUGAAGGAAGCAAAUGGCAAAACAUAGCUUUGACGAACAGAAAUCUGGUAGUAGGCAUAGUCAACUUGGGUAACCUAGCUAGAGAUAGAAUAGCCCGAAGUCUCGAACAGAAGUGUGAUUAUGUAAACCAGGCAGAGCUAUGGGAAAGGGU
This 167-nucleotide non-coding RNA is filed under the name Vibrio vulnificus. The record is from RNAcentral. Lineage: Bacteria; Pseudomonadati; Pseudomonadota; Gammaproteobacteria; Vibrionales; Vibrionaceae.